UACGUAUGGGGCAAGCGUUAUCCGGAUUUACUGGGUGUAAAGGGAGCGUAGGCGGCCUGGCAAGCCUGAUGUGAAAUACCGGGGCCCAACCCCGGGGCUGCAUUGGGAACUGCCAGGCUGGAGUGCCGGAGAGGCAGGCGGAAUUCCUAGUGUAGCGGUGAAAUGCGUAGAUAUUAGGAGGAACACCAGUGGCGAAGGCGGCCUGCUGGACGGUGACUGACGCUGAGGCCCGAAAGCGUGGGGAGCAAACAGG
This 253-nucleotide ribosomal RNA is filed under the name uncultured bacterium. RNAcentral's name for it is "partial 16S ribosomal RNA". It matches the Rfam family "Bacterial small subunit ribosomal RNA", at positions 524 to 776 of the family's 1533-position model. The record is from RNAcentral.